RNAcentral lists this transfer RNA (68 nucleotides) under Kingdonella sp. RNAcentral describes it as "tRNA-His". Lineage: Eukaryota; Metazoa; Arthropoda; Insecta; Orthoptera; Acrididae. The record is from RNAcentral.
GCUUAAGUAUUUUAUAAUAAAGAUAUUGUUUUGUGGGAUUAAUGAUAUGAAGUUUUUCAUCUUAGGCU